CGACUAACAAGCGUUUUCUUCACAGCGACUAACAAGGGUUUUCUUCACAGCGACUAACAAGCGUUUUCUUCCCGGCGACUAUCAAGCGUUUUCUUCACGGCGACUAACAAGCGUUUUCUUCACGGCGACUAACAAGCGUUUCUUUCACAGCGACUAACGAGCGUUUCUUUCACAGCGACUAACAAGCGUUUCUUUCACAGCAUCUAACAAGCGUUUCUUUCACAGCGACUAACAAGCGUUUCUUUCACAGCGACUAACAAGCGUUUCUUUACAGUGACUAACAAGCGUUUCUUUACAGUGACUAACAAGCGUUUUCUUUCACACCGACUAACAAGUGUCUUUUUCACCAGGACUAACAAGCAUUUUUUCCUCACAAACUCUUGCCUGGCUUUAACAGGCUACUACUUUUUUCUUCACAGUCUGUAUUCUGUUCUUCCAAGAUGAUUGAAAAAUGAGUGACGGUGUUGAAUCUCCCUUUGAUGUCCUGGAUUUGUGAUCCGAGGUCAGCGGAAUCAAAGCAUCAAAGGUUAAGUAUCGGAAUGAGAUGAUUACCUCUGGAGGUAACCUACACCCUGAGCCAAUCAUCAAUGCUUUUUGGACAGAGUAGCACCAUCUGCAGAAAGGACUGUGUCAAGUCUGUGCCACAUGAUGAACUGAUGAAGAUGUCUAGCCCUGGCUACAAGUUCAAAAUUUUAAAUUGAACAGUCUCUUGUGAAGUGGUAACUGCAACUGGACCUGCAUGAGCAUCUUGGGAGGGAACAGGUGCCAAGAGUCAUGAUCAAACCACUUUAUUAAGAUGAUGCUCUCUCGAGAACCUACACCCAAUCUUGAUGCCAAUCACUGCUUUUUGGACCAAGUUCCACCAACUAAAGGAGUGUGUCAUAUAAGUCCAUCCAGAUGACUCUUACAUGUCACACGUUCUGUUGAGUUGAUGAGCAAUCUCUUGUUCACUGAUACCAACAGACUUUUUGAAUGAACAUCGUUGGAGGAUGGAGGGGUGAUCACAACUGGACCUGUUUGGAUGAGCAUCUUUGGAGGAUACAGGUGCACAGAAACAACAAUAAACCGCUUGGAUUGAGAUGAUGCCCAUACACCCAAUCUUGAGGCUCAUCAAUGCCACUGUCUGAAGGAGCUGUCUAGCUUGGUGACUCUCUGCUUAAUUCUUGAAGUGACGUAGGUAUUUUGAGCCUAACCAAUGUUUUGGGGACUGCGCUUGCCAUCAACUUAAGGACUACGUCAAGUUUAGCAAGACGAUUCUCCGCUACAAGUUAACGCUUUUUGGAAGACCCCAUAGAAGAAAGACUGUCAAGUCUAACCAGAUAGUGCUCAACAAAUCAAUGGACAAAGGGAUGGUGAAACUAACCAACGUUUUUCGGACUGCCGGCCAUCAGUUGAAAGACUGCGUCAUGUAUCUCCACUGUGAUUUCACCUUGCGUAGUGAUACUUUAUGGAAGUCGUCACAUUAGAAAGACUGUGUCAAGUCUAGCCAGAUGGUGUUAAACUGGAACAAUGAAGAGAGGACCAUCUUAGUUCUUGUCCGAACAUGCAGCUGGCUGUGGCUAUUGCUAUGGCUUCAUUUAAUGCUUUCAUACAUAUUGACAUGGCGGUCAGGCCACACCCACAGCCGCUACCUCAGUGACGGCUUUAUAUUAUUGUUUACUAGACUUUUCUUGAAGCUGUCAAACUCCAAUUACAUUAUUGUCAAUGCAGCUUGUUAAUCCAUCAGUUGAUUUGGAGAUAGAAACCCUGACUUUCUUAUGACAAAGUUGUGAUGUUAAUGUUUUCAACUAUUUUGAGGGAAUAAGAUUUCAAGAUUUGUAAGAUUAAAUUAAUUGAAAGUAUUCUAGGCCCUUCUAGUGAGGCAAACUUGACACAUUGCUCAAUAAGUGUAAUAUUCCAAGAAGUGUGGGAAAAAGAGUACACUGUGAGCGCCAAAUAGACAAAUGCAUUAUUGGAGUGAAAUGCGCGCAUUAGUGAAAUGAGCGCAGAGCAGGGCCCAAUUUUCAUAGAGCUGCUUAAAAAGAAAAUUAUUGCUUACCUUUUUGUUUGUUUGCCACUUUAUGUGCUAAAGCAUGCAGCUCUAUGAAAUUGGGCCCAGACUCUGUUGCGAUAUGGCAACAAUCACAACACCAGGGCUUGGUUUCACAAAGAGCUUAAGAUAAUAAAUUCAGUCUGAGUUACUUGGUAACCUGUGAUGCCACAAUACAAAUCACCAUGGUAAUAUUGACAACUUGUCUUUAGGUAAUUUUAAGUGUUUUUUGUGAAACCGAACUCUCUACUCCUCACCCUAAUACAGACUAACAUACCAUCCGUCGAUUUCAGCAAACUCUUCCCAACUUACAAAUAAUCUUAGGACUUAGGACGAGUCCCAACCCUGCACUGGAGCAUGCAG
Asterias rubens (European starfish) is the source of this 2392-nucleotide long non-coding RNA. RefSeq lists it as uncharacterized. The transcript has 6 exons. The record is from RefSeq and is a predicted model, not a curated record. NCBI's taxonomy places the organism in Eukaryota, Metazoa, Echinodermata, Asteroidea, Forcipulatida, Asteriidae.